AUGCUUUACACAUGCAAGUCGUACGGAAAGUAUUUGAAUUUAUUCGUUUACUUUUAGUGGCGGACGGGUGAGUAACACGUGAGAAUCUGCCUUUAGGAGGGGGACAACAAAUCGAAAGAUCUGCUAAUACCCCAUAUGUCAUUAGAUGAAAUGAAUUUAUUCGCCUAAAGAGGAGCUCGCGGCUGAUUAGCUAGUUGGUAAGGUAAUGGCUUACCAAGGCGACGAUCAGUAACUGGUUUGAGAGGAUGAUCAGUCACACUGGAACUGAGACACGGUCCAGACUCCUACGGGAGGCAGCAGUGGGGAAUUUUCCGCAAUGGGCGAAAGCCUGACGGAGCAAUACCGCGUGAGGGAUGAAGGCUUACUGAGUUGUAAACCUCUUUUUUCAAGGAAGAAGUUCUGACGUUACU
Molecule: ribosomal RNA, 410 nt
Filed under: uncultured bacterium
Lineage: Bacteria
Description: bacterial SSU rRNA
Rfam family: Bacterial small subunit ribosomal RNA
Source: RNAcentral